Molecule: ribosomal RNA, 207 nt
Filed under: uncultured bacterium
Lineage: Bacteria
Description: partial 16S ribosomal RNA
Rfam family: Bacterial small subunit ribosomal RNA
Source: RNAcentral
CGUGUAGGCGGUCUGUUAAGUCUGAUGUGAAAGCCCUGGGCUCAACCCAGGAAGUGCAUUGGAAACUGGCAGACUUGAGUACGGGAGAGGAAAGUGGAAUUCCGAGUGUAGGGGUGAAAUCCGUAGAUAUUCGGAGGAACACCAGUGGCGAAGGCGGCUUUCUGGACCGAUACUGACGCUGAGACGCGAAAGCGUGGGGAGCAAACA